GAGGGUAUAGCUCAGUGGCAGAGUGCAUGCUUACCAUGCAAGAGGUCCUGGGUUCAUUCCCCAGUACCUCCA
RNAcentral lists this transfer RNA (72 nucleotides) under Camelus bactrianus (Bactrian camel). It matches the Rfam family "tRNA". Rfam says of the family: Transfer RNA (tRNA) molecules are approximately 80 nucleotides in length. The record is from Rfam by way of RNAcentral. Lineage: Eukaryota; Metazoa; Chordata; Mammalia; Artiodactyla; Camelidae. RNAcentral also lists the same sequence under 2 other names.